AUGAGAAAAUUCAUACUUUGGAAAGAAGAACCCUUCAAAUGUAAGGAAUAUGUCAAAGUCAUUACCUCAUCCUCCAAGCUUUGCUCAACAUAAGAGGAUUCAUACAGGAGAUAUUCAUCUUGGAGAGAAACCUACACAUUGUGAAGAAUUGCAAAGCCUCUUUAGACAGUUCCGCAUCCUUAUAAUUGGGGAAAUGGUUUUACAGUCCUCACACCUGAAUAACCAUGAGAAAAUUCAUACUAGAAAGAAACCCGUCAAUGUAAGGGAAUGUGGGCAAAGUCAUUACCUAUAUCCUCAAGCUUUGCUCAACAUAAAGAGGAUACAUACAGGUAGAACCCUAUUUAAAUUGUUUAGAAUGUGGUAAAUCUUUAACGUCCGCAGUCCUUUUACUAAACAUAGGAGAAAAUUCAUAUGGAGAGAAACCCAUACACAUGUGGAAUGUGUGCAUAAGCCUUUAACAGUCUGCAAUCCUUUAUGUACAUAGGAGAAUUCAUUACUUGGAGAGAAACCUACAACAUGUGAAGAUGGCGGACAAAACCUUUAGACGUCUGCAAACCCUAUAUGCCACAUAGGAGUAAUUCAUACUGGAGAGAAACUUACAAAUGUGGAAGAUGUGGCAAAGCCUUUGGACAGUCACAGACCUGAAUCGACAUAAGAACGUUCAUCUCGAGAGAAACCUUACAAAUGUGAAGAGUGUGGCCAACACUUUGCAUGGCGCACAGCCCUGAUUCAACACAAGAAAUUCACACUGGGAGAGAACUUCCAAAUGUGAGAGAAACCCUACACAUGUGUAGAUCGUGCAGAGCCUUUGGGAUGGUCCACACAACCUGAAUGAAUAUUAGAAAAAUUUACUGGAGAUAACCCUUCAAAUGUAAAGAAUGUGGGAAAGUGUUUAAACAGGUCCUCAACCUGAAUAGACAUGAGAAAAUUCAUACUAGAAAGAAACCCGUCAAAUGUAAGGAAUGUGGCAAAGUCAUUACCUCAUCCUCAAGCUUUGCUCAACAUAAGAGGAUACAUACAGGUGAGAAACCCUUUAAAUGUUUAGAAUGUGGUAAAGCCUUUAAUCGUUCCGCAGUCCUUACUAAACAUAGGAGAAUUCAUACUGGAGAGAAACCCUACACAUGUGAAGAAUGUGGCAAAGCCUUUAGACAGUCUGCAAUCCUUUAUGUACAUAGGAGAAUUCAUACUGGAGAGAAACCCUACACAUGUGAAGAAUGUGGCAAAGCCUUUAGACAGUCUGCAAACCUUUCUGCACAUAGGAGAAUUCAUACUGGAGAGAAACCUUACAAAUGUGAAGAGUGUGGCAAAGCCUUUGGACAGUACACAGACCUGAAUCGACAUAAGAACAUUCAUACUCGAGAGAAACCUUACAAAUGUGAAGAGUGUGGCAAACACUUUGCAUGGCGCACAGACCUGAAUCGACACAAGAAAACUUAUACUGGGGAGAAACCUUCCAAAUGUGAUGAGUGUGGCAAAGCCUAUGCCCCAUCAACAGACCUGAAUCACCACAAGAAAAUUCUUACUGGAGAGAAACGUUACAAAUGUGAAGAGUGUGGCAAAGCCUUUGGACGGUCCACAGCCCUGAAUCAACACAAGAAAAUUCAUACUGGAGAGAAACCUUACAAAUGUGAAGAGAGUGGCAAAGCCUUUAGUAGGUCAAGAAACCUUGCUGCACACAAGAAAAUUCAUACUGGAGAGAAACCCUACACAUGUGAAGAGAGAGAAACCUUACAAAUGUGAAGAGUGUGGCAAAACCUUUAGACAGUCUGCAAACCUAUAUGCACAUAGGAGAAUUCAUACUGGAGAGAAACCUUACAAAUGUGAAGAGUGUGGCAAACACUUUGCAUGGCGCACAGACCUGAAUCGACACAAGAAAACUUAUACUGGGGAGAAACCUUCCAAAUGUGAUGAGUGUGGCAAAGCCUAUGCCCCAUCUUUGCUCAACAUAAGAGGAUACAUACAGGUGAGAAACCCUUUAAAUGUAAAGAAUGUGGGAAAGCCUUUAAUCGUUCCGCAGUCCUUACUAAACAUAGGAGAAUUCAUACUGGAGAGAAACCCUUCAAAUGUAAGGAAUAUGUCAAAGCCUUUAGACAGUCUACCUCAUCCUCAAGCUUUGCUCAACAUAAGAGGAUUCAUACAGGUGAGAAACCCUUCAAAUGUUUAGAAUGUGGUAAAACCUUUAAUCGUUCCACAAUCCUUACUAAACAUAGGAGAAUUCAUACUGGAGAGAAACCCUACACAUGUGAAGAAUGUGGCAAAGCCUUUAGACAGUCCGCAAUCCUUUAUGUACAUAGGAGAAUUCAUACUGGAGAGAAACCCUACAAAUGUAAAGAAUGUGGCAAACCUUUAGACAGUCUGCAAACCUAUAUGCACAUAGGAGAAUUCAUACUGGAGAGAAACCUUACAAAUGUGAAGAGUGUGGCAAAGCCUUUGGACGCUACACAGACCUGAAUCGACAUAAGAACAUUCAUACUCGAGAGAAACCUUACAAAUGUGAAGAGUGUGGCAAACACCUUGCAUGGCACACAGACCUGAAUCAACACAACAAAACUUAUACUGGGGAGAAACCUUCCAAAUGUGAAGAGUGUGGCAAAGCCUGUGCCCUAUCAACAGACCUGAAUCAACACAAGAAAAUUCAUACUGGAGAGAAACCUUACAAAUAUGAAGAAGGUGACAAAGCCUUUAGUAGGUCAAGAAACCUUGCUGCACAUAACAGAAUUUACACCGGAGAGAAACCCUACACAUGUGAAGAUCGUGGCAGAGCCUUUGGAUGGUCCACAAACCUGAAUGAAUAUAAAAAAAUUCAUACUGGAGAUAAACCCUACAAAUGUAAAGAAUGUGGGGAAGUGUUUAAACAGUCCUCACACCUGAAUAGACAUGAGAAAAUUCAUACUGGAAAGAAACCCUCAAAUGUAAGGAAUGUGGCAAAGUCAUUACCUCAUCCUCAAGCUUUGCUCAACAUAAGAGGAUACAUACAGGUGAGAAACCCUUCAAAUGUUUAGAAUGUGGUAAAGCCUUUAAUAGUUCCACAGUCCUUACUAAACAUAGGAGAAUUCAUACUGGAGAGAAACCCUACACAUGUGAAGAAUGUGGCAAAGCCUUUAGACAGUCUGCAAUCCUUUAUGUACAUAGGAGAAUUCAUACUGGAGAGAAACCCUACACAUGUGAAGAAUGUGGCAAAGCCUUUAGACAGUCUGCAAAUCUUUAUGCACAUAAGAAAAUUCAUACUGGAGAUAAAACUAUACAAGUGUAAAGGAUAUGGCAAAGCCUUUAAGCUGUACUCCAGCCUUCUUAAACAUCAGAGAACUCAUAUCAGGGGAAUGUCUUAUGACGGUUGCAGUCUUUAAAUACUCCUCUAUCCUUUCUAAUUUUAAGAUAAUUCAUGAUGGAGAGAAACUCUACAAAUAUGAAAAAUGUGAGAAAGCUUUUAACCACACCUCAAUCUGUUGUAAACAAUAAGUAAUUAUAUUGAUGAGAAGCCAAAUUAACAUUUAAAAUGUGACAAAGACUUCAAAUUCUUGUCACUUCCUAGUGUAAUUCCUACUGAAGAACACAUCUAGAUACACAAAAAAUGUGGCAGAACUUUUAACCAAUGCUUAAUAUCUUUGCAGAUGAUAGUAUUUAUAUGUGAGGAUACUUGUACAAAUAUAAAAAUAUACAAAAGCUAUUAAUGUCUACUCUAAAUUUAUAGUUAAUAAAAGUAUUAUGUAAUUUCUGUUGAAAGACCUUUUAUAAAAUACAGGCUAUUAAAGUUAAGAAGAGUAGUCUUAAGACAGAGAAUACAAAGAUAAAGAGGGCUCUAGUGCCUGUACUUGUAUCCCAGAACUUACUGUAUACAUUUUGUACUAGAGGAAAACUCUGAAGCAGUUGCUCAAACUUUGUU
RNA transcript from Cercocebus atys (sooty mangabey), 3883 nucleotides. It is a transcript of the gene named zinc finger protein 208-like, with no coding region annotated. Lineage: Eukaryota; Metazoa; Chordata; Mammalia; Primates; Cercopithecidae. The record is from RefSeq and is a predicted model, not a curated record. The transcript has 6 exons.